Molecule: long non-coding RNA, 396 nt
Filed under: Nicotiana benthamiana
Lineage: Eukaryota; Viridiplantae; Streptophyta; Magnoliopsida; Solanales; Solanaceae
Description: long non-coding RNA (NBEN_LNC033673)
Source: RNAcentral
GUUCUUGCCUUUUGCAAUCAAGAUGUUUACAGUGUUAAUAUUUGCACUUUACAUAGUAUUUAACACAUCGUGAGAAGAUUGUCUGUUUGAAAUCUAUAGGGGAAAAUUCCUUGGAUUACCUUUUCCUGUUAUCUAACACAUCGUGAGAAGAUUGUCUGUUUGAGAUCUGUAGGGGAAAAUUCCUUAGAUUACCUUUUCUUGUCUGUGAUUGUUGUUUUUCUAUUGAUAUGAUUAGUAAAAAGUUUCACAUACAGAACAUAUUUAUGUUAUGUAUAGAGCAAGUAUGCACCAUGGAAAUGCUUCUAUAUUCUCAAGCGAUUGACUUUUUUACUGCUUCAAAAAAACAUGACUUUUUUCUACUUAUAUCUUUUCCCACCUAUUUUGAGGAAAUUCUUG